RNAcentral lists this ribosomal RNA (120 nucleotides) under Bison bison bison. The record is from RNAcentral. Lineage: Eukaryota; Metazoa; Chordata; Mammalia; Artiodactyla; Bovidae.
GUCUCCGGACAUAUAAGCCUGAAGGCGCUAGAUCAUGUCUGCCCUCAAAAGUUAAGCAGGGUCGGGCCUGGUUAGUAUCUUGGAUGGGAGACCACCUGGGAAUCCCGGGUGCUCGAGGCU